Molecule: ribosomal RNA, 514 nt
Filed under: uncultured organism
Description: bacterial SSU rRNA
Rfam family: Bacterial small subunit ribosomal RNA
Source: RNAcentral
CAACGCGAAGAACGUUACCUGGGCUUGACAUGGGAGUGAAAUCCCGUAGAGAUACGGGACUGUCCUUCGGGAACACUCCACACAGGUGCUGCAUGGUAGUCGUCAGCUCGUGUCGUGAGAUGUUGGGUUAAGUCCCGCAACGAGCGCAACCCUCGCCCUUAGUUGCCAGCGGGUAAUGCCGGGAACUCUAGGGGGACUGUCUGGUACAACCAGGAGGAAGGUGGGGAUGACGUCAAAUCAUCAUGGCCCUUACGCCCAGGGCUAGACACGUGCUACAAUGGCUGGUACAACGGGCUGCAAGCUCGCGAGAGCAAGCCAAUCCCUAAAAACCAGCCUCAGUUCAGAUUGGAGUCUGCAAUUCGACUUCAUGAAGGUGGAAUCGCUAGUAAUCGCGGAUCAGCAUGCCGCGCUGAAUACGUUCCCGGGCCUUGUACACACCGCCCGUCAAGCCACGAAAGAUGGUAGUACCCGAAGUCGCUACUCUAACCCGCAAGGGAGGAGGGCGCCGAAGGUA